AGUGAACCUGCUGAGAGAUGAAGGAGGGGAUGAGAGGCCAGAACAUCAGUCUCAUCUUCAUGGAGGACAUUGAUGCCAGAUGCAGUGAACCUGCUGAGAGAUGAAGGAGGGGAUGAGAGGCCAGAACAUCAACCUCAUCUUCAUGGAGGACAUUGAUGCCAGAUGCAGUGAACCUGCUGAGAGAUGAAGGAGGGGAUGAGAGGUCAGAACAUCAACCUCAUCUUCAUGGAGGACAUUGAUGCCAGAUGCAGUGAACCUGCUGAGAGGAGAAGGAGGGGAUGAGAGGCCAGAACAUCAGUCUCAUCUUCAUGGAGGACAUUGAUGCCAGAUGCAGUGAACCUGCUGAGAGAUGAAGGAGGGGAUGAGAGGCCAGAACAUCAACCUCAUCUUCAUGGAGAACAUUGAUGCCAGAUGCAGUGAACCUGCUGAGAGAUGAAGGAGGGGAUGAGAGGCCAGAACAUCAACCUCAUCUUCAUGGAGAACAUUGAUGCCAGAUGCAGUGAACCUGCUGAGAGAUGAAGGAGGGGAUGAGAGGCCAGAACAUCAGUCCCUUCUUCAUGGAGAACAUUGAUUCCAGAUGCAGCUACAUGUGCAAAGAAACUUUCCUGAAUUGAAUCAUGGGACCAGAUUGGUUGUUCCAGGUUUCCAUGCUGAUGGACAUGACUUGCCAUGUCAGAUGAAAUUCAACACCCGAUAUGUGGAAGGUGCUGGACUGGCAGAUGGGGAGCAGAUGGAGAGGCUGUGGUCGUAUCUGAGGCGCUUUGGGAAGGUCACCAAAGAAAUGAGGCCGUCCCAUCUUAUUGACCUCCUGACUGAUGCUCUUCUCCACCAUCGGAAAACACCAGAGGCUACUGGACUCUCUGCCAUAGAGGGUUUCCCCAGCAACAGAAGUUGCAACAGAGGCAGAAAGGGAAAUGGAAAAAAUUGCACAGUCUCUUCCAGGGUAGAGCAGGAAAGUGGAGAUGGAACAGCUGUUUUUCAGCUUGUGCAGUUCGAUAGAAAACUGAAGACGAUGGAGAGGAAGAACAGCAUCCUCCAUCGAUGGUCCCCCACCAGCAGUCUCUUCCAGACUGCACUCCACAGACUGCAGAGUAACAGAUUGAUGGUCUCCCACCAGUAGUCUCUUACAGACUGCACUCCACAGACUGCAGG
Molecule: long non-coding RNA, 1152 nt
Filed under: Salmo trutta (river trout)
Lineage: Eukaryota; Metazoa; Chordata; Actinopteri; Salmoniformes; Salmonidae
Description: lncRNA (ENSSTUG00000023364.1)
Source: RNAcentral